RNAcentral lists this non-coding RNA (133 nucleotides) under Wolbachia pipientis. RNAcentral's name for it is "WsnRNA46". It matches the Rfam family "Wolbachia sRNA 46". RNAcentral also lists the same sequence under 2 other names. The record is from RNAcentral. Lineage: Bacteria; Pseudomonadati; Pseudomonadota; Alphaproteobacteria; Rickettsiales; Anaplasmataceae.
GUCUCUUCUUCUGUCAUCCCAGUGCCCAGACACUGGGAUCCAGACAAUUUAAUUGCAAAUGAGUACAUCAAAUGGCAGUGUAAUAAAAACUGGAUUCCAGUGUCAAGCACUGGAAUGACACCAGAACGAACUA